AUCUAUGGUUCGUAAACUUACUUUUAUUGGGAAGAAAAAGUCUCAUUCAUGAGAAACUGACGGUACCCAAUGAAUAAGCACCGGCUAACUCCGUGC
This 96-nucleotide ribosomal RNA is filed under the name uncultured bacterium. Its description in RNAcentral is "partial 16S ribosomal RNA". The record is from RNAcentral.